CAGCCGCCACGGUAAUACGAAGGGGGCUAGCGUUGCUCGGAAUUACUGGGCGUAAAGGGAGCGUAGGCGGAUCGUUUAGUUGGGGGUGAGAUCCCGGGGCUCAACCUCGGAACUGCCUUCAAUACUGGCGAUCUUGAGUAUGGGAGAGGUGUGUGGAACUCCGAGUGUAGAGGUGAAAUUCGUAGAUAUUCGGAAGAACACCAGUGGCGAAGGCGACACACUGGCCCAUUACUGACGCUGAGGCUCGAAAGCGUGGGGAGCAAACAGGAUUAGAUACCCCAGUAGUCCCUGUCUCUUAUAC
This 301-nucleotide ribosomal RNA is filed under the name uncultured bacterium. RNAcentral's name for it is "partial 16S ribosomal RNA". It matches the Rfam family "Bacterial small subunit ribosomal RNA", at positions 509 to 807 of the family's 1533-position model. The record is from RNAcentral.